Molecule: transfer RNA, 92 nt
Filed under: Gammaproteobacteria bacterium
Lineage: Bacteria; Pseudomonadati; Pseudomonadota; Gammaproteobacteria
Also listed under: 1 other name
Description: tRNA-Ser
Rfam family: tRNA
About the family: Transfer RNA (tRNA) molecules are approximately 80 nucleotides in length. Their secondary structure includes four short double-helical elements and three loops (D, anti-codon, and T loops).
Source: RNAcentral
GGAGAGGUGGCCGAGCGGCUGAAGGCGCUCCCCUGCUAAGGGAGUGUAGGCUUUAUAUCCUACCGAGGGUUCGAAUCCCUCCUUCUCCGCCA